RNAcentral lists this ribosomal RNA (655 nucleotides) under Nocardia farcinica. RNAcentral describes it as "bacterial SSU rRNA". It matches the Rfam family "Bacterial small subunit ribosomal RNA", at positions 36 to 707 of the family's 1533-position model. Lineage: Bacteria; Bacillati; Actinomycetota; Actinomycetes; Mycobacteriales; Nocardiaceae. The record is from RNAcentral.
CUGGCGGCGUGCUUAACACAUGCAAGUCGAGCGGUAAGGCCCUUCGGGGUACACGAGCGGCGAACGGGUGAGUAACACGUGGGUGAUCUGCCCUGUACUUCGGGAUAAGCCUGGGAAACUGGGUCUAAUACCGGAUAUGACCUUACAUCGCAUGGUGUUUGGUGGAAAGAUUUAUCGGUACAGGAUGGGCCCGCGGCCUAUCAGCUUGUUGGUGGGGUAAUGGCCUACCAAGGCGACGACGGGUAGCCGGCCUGAGAGGGCGACCGGCCACACUGGGACUGAGACACGGCCCAGACUCCUACGGGAGGCAGCAGUGGGGAAUAUUGCACAAUGGGCGAAAGCCUGAUGCAGCGACGCCGCGUGAGGGAUGACGGCCUUCGGGUUGUAAACCUCUUUCGACAGGGACGAAGCGCAAGUGACGGUACCUGUAGAAGAAGCACCGGCCAACUACGUGCCAGCAGCCGCGGUAAUACGUAGGGUGCGAGCGUUGUCCGGAAUUACUGGGCGUAAAGAGCUUGUAGGCGGUUUGUCGCGUCGUCCGUGAAAACUUGGGGCUCAACCCCAAGCUUGCGGGCGAUACGGGCAGACUUGAGUACUGCAGGGGGAGACUGGAAUUCCUGGUGUAGCGGUGAAAUGCGCAGAUAUCAGGAGGAAC